CCUACGGGAGGCAGCAGUGGGGAAUAUUGCACAAUGGAGGAAACCCUGAUGCAGCGACGCCGCGUGAGGGAAGAAGUAUUUCUGUGUUUAAAGCUCUAUCAGCAGGGAAGAAAAUGACGGUACCUGUUUAAGAAUCCCCGGCUAACUACGUGCCAGCAGCCGCGGUAAUACGUAGGGGGCAAGCGUUAUCCGGAUUUACUGGGUGUAAAGGGAGCGUAGACGGCAGCACAAGUCUGGAGUGAAAUGCCGAGGCUCAACCCCGGAACUGCCUUGGAAACUGUGCAGCUAGAGUGUAGGUGCGGUAGGUGGAAUGCAUAGUGUAGCGGUGAAAUGCGUAGAUAUCAGGCGGAACACCAGUGGCGAAGGCGGCUUACCGGACUGUAACUGACGUUGAGGCUCGAAAGCGUGGGGAGCAAACAGGAUUAGAUACCCUGGUAGUC
Molecule: ribosomal RNA, 440 nt
Filed under: uncultured bacterium
Lineage: Bacteria
Description: partial 16S ribosomal RNA
Rfam family: Bacterial small subunit ribosomal RNA
Source: RNAcentral